AAAGUGUGACGGAGCAAUGCCGCGUGCAGGAUGAAGUAGCUUCGCUAUGUAAACUGCUGUCAGGGGCGAGAAACAAUGAUCAGCCCCAGAGGAAGGACCGGCUAAACUCGUGCCAGCAGCCGCGGUAAUACGAGUGGUCCAAGCGUUAGUCGGAAUCACUGGGCUUAAAGGGUGCGUAGGCCGACCGGAAAGCAUCUUGUGAAAUCCCUUCGCUCAACGGAGGAACCGCAGGGUGAACUGCCGGUCUAGAGGAACCUAGAGGCGGGCGGAACGAUAGGUGGAGCGGUGGAAUGCGUAGAUAUCUAUCGGAACGCCAAAGGUGAAGACAGCCCGCUGGGGGUUUCCUGACGCUGAGGCACGAAAGCGUGGGGAUCAAACAGGAUUAGAUACCCUGGUAGUCCACGCCCUAAACGAUGCGCACUAGACCGUUGCCGGUCUGACCCGGUAAUGGUCGUAGAGAAAUUGAUAAGUGCGCCGCCUGGGGAGUACGGUCGCAAGGCUA
RNAcentral lists this ribosomal RNA (502 nucleotides) under uncultured bacterium. RNAcentral's name for it is "bacterial SSU rRNA". It matches the Rfam family "Bacterial small subunit ribosomal RNA", at positions 378 to 896 of the family's 1533-position model. The record is from RNAcentral.